Molecule: long non-coding RNA, 801 nt
Filed under: Chinchilla lanigera (long-tailed chinchilla)
Lineage: Eukaryota; Metazoa; Chordata; Mammalia; Rodentia; Chinchillidae
Description: lncRNA (ENSCLAG00000024952.1)
Source: RNAcentral
UUUAUUUGAAUCUUUGGUUCUUUUUUCUGUUUCAUCACUUAAUCUUUCCUCUUUGUAGCCAUAUUCAAGUCUCCUCAUAUGAAAUGUGACCACAACAAAACUAUCCAUUGACAAUGAUACUCAACCGUUCCUUACCAAGUUCAUAUGCAAUAUGAGACAGUAUUUUCCAGAUAUCUAAAGGGGCGAUGAACAUGAGGUGAGCCACAGCUUCUGCAGAAGACAUGUUCCAGCCAUGGAAAUUCCUGUGGGAGUGGAGUUUAGGGGGAGCCCAGUCUCACUGUGCCAUGGAAACAGGGCUCAUAGUCUGAGUAUUGCUGCUGCAGCUGGAUUUGCAAGAAAUAGCCUAGCAGUGCUCGAUGAGAUAAAUCCAGCCUUUGUUCCACCUGAUUCUUUUGGGCUGGCACCGGCACCACUACUGCCUGCUCUGAUUAUAGUUAAUCCAUUGCCUGCAACGGGACACAGUUUGGCCCAAGUCAGAUGACAAAGUCUUUUCAAACAGGAAAAGCCGUUGUCAGCUGUCGUUGUGGUACCAACAUGGAUCACGUCAGGACAGCCACACAAAGACAGGAUGAAUCGGAUGCUCAGCCACAUUCACUGCAGUAGGUUUUCUGUCAGGCUCGUUCGCGGGGAUGGAGGAAAGAACUCAGAGCAUAAUCCCCACAUUCUGCCUGCUUCCUCUGUAUGCAUGUAUCACCCGGUAUCAAGUGGUGUCAGGACUCGCUGAGUUACAAUCCCAGCUUCUCUGUAAGUGACAUGUUUCUAUUUUCCUUCAAAAAUCUCACUUUUGGAAGGUUUCCUUAA